This is an RNA transcript of Esox lucius (northern pike), 2017 nucleotides long. It is a transcript of the gene named migration and invasion enhancer 1-like, with no coding region annotated. Lineage: Eukaryota; Metazoa; Chordata; Actinopteri; Esociformes; Esocidae. The transcript is spliced from 4 exons. The record is from RefSeq and is a predicted model, not a curated record.
CGCUUUCUUACCCCUCCCAACUCCGUCUGCAAAACAACACUCACACUUUGAUUAAAGCACAAUCAAGAAGAAAGGAGUGAGAAGUAGAAUCUGAGACAAAGCUACAGCAUGGGUGUCAUGCAGAUCAGGGUGGAAUACUGUGGCCAAUGAGGGUAUGAGCCCCGCUACAAGAAGCUUCAGCAGGCUAUCGCUGCUGAGUUUCCUGAAGUGGAGGUGUCAGGUUUUGUAGGGAGAAAAGGCAGUUUUGAGUUGGAGAUUAACAGCAGGCUGGUGUUCUCCAAACUGGAAACAGGUGGCUUCCCCUUUGAAAAAGAUGUCAGGGACGCUAUCCAGAACACCUAUGAUGGCAAGCAAGUGGAGAAGUGGACCAAAUCCCGCCCUCCAUGUGUCGUUCUUUAGAUCAGACCUACGCUGCUGUCUGUCACCACUUACACAUCAGACUCAUGUAUCUGGAGAUCUGCCGUCAGGCUAGGUGUCUUCUCUCUCUGCCUGCUCCCAUUGCAGUGCUCCAGGACUUCUAUGAUUACUGUAGCUUAAAACUGAGAUGUUACGGCAUGAUGGCCCCAGUCCUGGUAGCUCCUGUGUUAUGGGACCAGACAAAGGAAGACAACGGCGAGACUGGUGGUGGGUGGGACUUCCAAAUCUUCCUUGCUUAUUUGUUUAAAGCAUUGUCAUCUGCCAGACGAAAAACAUGUAUAUUGGAGCUGCUGAAGCUGGUUUCUGGUUGUCUUAUUCUGCACUUGAUCAGACUGUGUUGACCUACAGUACUGUAACUGAUCCUUUGAAAAACUUUUUUUAAAGUAUAAAAUACAAACGUUUUCAAAUGUAUGUUCACUAGAACUGGUCAGAUGAGAUGAUUCUUUUGUUCUAGUAAUGAAGGCCACUUCCCACUGUCCAGUCUGCUAUAAUAACAAGACAUAAUCCAAGGUUUAAUUAUAACUGCUGAGUACUGUUAAUAAUUACCUAAUAUGUCUUCCUUUCUGACCCACCUGUUAGCCAGGGCAUGCAACCAUAGAAAUGUAUAGAGGUAUAAACUUGGAUGUUACAAGUUUUAGCAUAGACAUUGCCUUUGACAGUUUCCACCAUUUUAAAGUCACGUAAUUGGGUUUCACAUUUUUCUUUUUCUUUUUUAUAUUUUCUGAUUAAAAAUGUUCUAUACAAAGUCUAGCCAUCAAUCCCAAACAAACCCAUUUCCCAAACUUGCUCCGAUGGCCCUUUGUUGUCACGUUGCAGACAACUCUGAGGCAUAGACAGUGACCAGGGGCUAAACAAAGCCAUCAGCUUUUGUACCCACUUAUAAUGAUGCAAUUGAUUUUGCAUUUUUAAACAGUAGAAUCAUCUUAAAAUUAAACAAAUGUACAUAUUUUAUAAUCAGGCAAUGCCUAUCCAUUAUUGUGUUUAUAAUUGCUCAAAGAAAAAAUUUAAUGGUGCCUCCUAAUGAGCUGUAAUAUUUUAAAUGACUGUACUAGGUUGUUUGGCUUCACGAGGGUGUAAUCCAGAGAGAUAAUAACUUGGUGCUUCUAAGCUGGUACCGUUGCAGCCCCUCUACAAGUGGCCUCUAAGGAUCAAAGAAGAUCUAAUAAUUUGUUCACACUUACAACCUUAAUUCUUAAAUAAGUUUUGUCAAAUACAAGCGAAAAGUUAACAAAUAAGAUUUGCAUGUGUUCAGACAGCCAUAAUUUCUGGAUAUUGCUCUCUUAGUUAUCAUACCAACAAUUGGUGUGUGUGCAGUGGUGUAGGUUAAUUGUUGUUAGGACUUAUUUUGAAUGUUACAAUGACAACAACAGUGCUUGCCAUUAUAGUUUCAAAUGAUAAUCUAGCUGCACUUUCCAGCCCACAUAGGUUAAGAUGAUAAACAUUUCAAAAUUAAACUUCAAACUAGAACAGUAAAGAGGCUAGUUACCUGUUUUAAUUGCUAACUAACAAAUUUGUUUGUAAAGAAUAAAAAAUGUAGUAAACUUUGCAAACUGUGAACAGAGUAGUUAGUUAGCAAGAAGACAUGGCAUAUAACCAUAUA